UACGUAGGUGGCAAGCGUUGUCCGGAUUUAUUGGGUUUAAAGGGCGCGUAGGCGGCCUUGCGUGUCUUUCGUGAAAUCCCUCGGCUUAACUGAGGACGUGCGGAAGAAACUGCAGGGCUGGAGUCCGGGAGAGGGGGGUGGAAUUCCCAGUGUAGCGGUGAAAUGCGUAGAUAUUGGGAGGAACACCGGUGGCGAAGGCGGCCCCCUGGACCGGUACUGACGCUGAGGCGCGAAAGCGUGGGUAGCAAACGGG
Molecule: ribosomal RNA, 253 nt
Filed under: uncultured prokaryote
Description: partial 16S ribosomal RNA
Rfam family: Bacterial small subunit ribosomal RNA
Source: RNAcentral